This 1221-nucleotide long non-coding RNA is filed under the name Monodelphis domestica (gray short-tailed opossum). RNAcentral describes it as "lncRNA (ENSMODG00000051267.1)". The record is from RNAcentral. Lineage: Eukaryota; Metazoa; Chordata; Mammalia; Didelphimorphia; Didelphidae.
UAAACAUAAUGAACCAGCAAAGUAUGUAUGUAACUUGUGUUUCAGAGGAAUGAUUGAUGUAUCUGUCAUGUUUGGCCUGCAAUGGGCGUGGGGCCUCUGAAUGUACCUCUGCUAAGGGAAAGAAAGGAAGGGUAAUGGGUAGUGAUCUUUGGGUUUUAAUUCUGUGAAUGUAAUCAUUUUGGGGUACUAUUCUAAGGGGGUUAAAGUGGGCCAUAUUUGUGUUAACCCUAUAAGUAUUUGCUCUCAUAUUAUUUUCCUGCAUUAGGAGAGAACAAUAAUCAUAACAAUUUGAGACACUCGCCUGUAAAUGCCUCAAGAAGAGAGAGAGAGAAAGGAUAGUAGAUUGGAUUCCGCGGGGGGCGUGAAGGAGUCAGGAGAUGGCAGAAUUGAGUCAGACACCAGGCCGUAUCGAUUUUACUGGAGCCCACAGCACAACUCCGGACUCUGGAACUCUCAAAGGACAGAACCAUCCAGUAGCCCAAAAUUAACACCACACAGGUCAGCAGAAUGCUAUAGCUUAGCUGAGAAGAUAUUUGCAUAUCAAAGAGAUUAAAAGGGGAGCCACAGAAAUCUCCGCCCUCUCUUGGAUCUUAGCUCUCACUGAUGUCUGUCUUUGCUGGAGCUUGGCCUCGCCAAGCUCCAUCUUUAAUUCCUUUCCUUCUCUAUCUCUCUCACCUGGGACCUGGCCUUCGGCCAGGCACUUUCUUUUCUCUAUCAUGUCUCUGACCUGUGUGUGGUAUUAAAUUUGGAUCAUUGGACGGGAAUUAGCCUUUCUGAGAAGUCCACUGAUAGGGGUUCUGCUGUGGCUCCAUUAUAAUCAAUAAGGCCUGGUUUUCUGACUCAUUUCUGCCAUCUCAUAUCUCUAACUUGGCUCCACCACGCCCCUCGCGGUAUCCAAAACUUCUAUCCUUUUUCUAUCUUCCUACCUUGUGGCUUCUCGCGGGCCAAGAGGCCACAAGCAUGAUGACAGGAGUUGCUAGGGGAGAAAGACUGUGAACCAGGCACUGAGCACAUUGAGGAAGAAAGGGGAGUAUCAUUGAGAUUUGUAGAUAAGAACUACCAGGAUUUUGAUGGUGGUAAAUAGGAUUGUACGAAUCUCAAAGGAGAGGUUACCCAGUGAUAGCAGUAUCAGAAGAGCCUAGAAAUGGCAAUGGGGAGCUCCCCUACUUCUCUCAAUGAAUGAGGGAAUAUGAAUAAAAGUGCAACUGGGAAGGGUAGCCA